AUACGGAGGUUGCAAGCGUUGUCCGGAUUUAUUGGGUUUAAAGGGUGUGUAGGCGGUGUAUUAAGUCAGUGGUGAAAGCCUGCGGCUCAACCGUAGAACUGCCAUUGAUACUGACACACUUGAGUAUGGACGAGGUAGGCGGAAUUUAUGGUGUAGCGGUGAAAUGCAUAGAUACCAUAAAGAACACCGAUAGCGAAGGCAGCUUACUAGGCCAUAACUGACGCUGAGGCACGAAAGCGUGGGGAGCGAACAGGAUUAGAAACCCCAGUAGUCC
This 274-nucleotide ribosomal RNA is filed under the name uncultured bacterium. RNAcentral describes it as "partial 16S ribosomal RNA". It matches the Rfam family "Bacterial small subunit ribosomal RNA", at positions 523 to 796 of the family's 1533-position model. The record is from RNAcentral.